UCAUUUCAUUGCAGAUCCAUUUUCUGCCACCGAAUACAUUAGCAUGGGAUAAUGGAAUAGGACCCUGUCCUCCUAUUUUCAGUUGGUUUUGGCAGCGCGAGGACUAGGGUAAUGAUUAAUAGGGAUAGUUGGGGGCAUUAAUAUUUAAUUGUCAGAGGUGAAAUUCUUGGAUUUAUGAAAGAUUAACUUCUGCGAAAGCAUCUGCCAAGGAUGUUUUCAUUAAUCAAGAACGAAAGUUAGGGGAUCGAAGACGAUCAGAUACCGUCGUAGUCUUAACCAUAAACGAUGCCGACCAGCGAUUAGGAGACGUUGAAUACAAAACACCACCAUCGGUUGCGGUCGUCCUUGGCGUCUCGGUUUCGGCCGGGGCGCGGGGACGGUUUAGCCCGGUGGCACCGGUGAAUGACUCCCUAGCACUU
This 419-nucleotide ribosomal RNA is filed under the name Acanthamoeba sp. Its description in RNAcentral is "SSU rRNA". The stretch from base 1 to 362 matches the Rfam family "Eukaryotic small subunit ribosomal RNA", at positions 770 to 1116 of the family's 1831-position model. The record is from RNAcentral. Lineage: Eukaryota; Discosea; Longamoebia; Acanthamoebidae.